AGAAAGAAAUCCAGUUCAUACAUAGGCAUUGGUAGCACAUCGAGCUAACCUAACUCAAAAUAAUCUCUUGCAUUUAACUUGUGCUCAGAUUGCUCAGUAAUGUCUUCUGGCAAAGAUGACAUCGGUGCCAACCAAGUCAAAACAAAUCAAUGGGUGGGAUGGAUCAUGAUGUGUAUUCGAAAGGCUGGGGUGGUUGAGGCUCCUCGUCUACAGCCAUGGCUGAUCCUGAACCUUGCUGCCCGGUUGCUGAACCACUGGCAGGUGAUCCUGUUGAUGACGGUGUGUCUGUUAGAGAUAGGA
Molecule: unclassified non-coding RNA, 300 nt
Filed under: Hevea brasiliensis (rubber tree)
Lineage: Eukaryota; Viridiplantae; Streptophyta; Magnoliopsida; Malpighiales; Euphorbiaceae
Source: RNAcentral